UGAGGAAUAUUGGUCAAUGGACGGAAGUCUGAACCAGCCAUGUCGCGUGCAGGAAGACGGCCUUAUGGGUUGUAAACUGCUUUUCUAUAGGGAGAAACCCUCUUUCGUGAAGGAGGCUGACGGUACUAUAGGAAUAAACACCGGCUAACUCCGUGCCAGCAGCCGCGGUAAUACGGAGGGUGUAAGCGUUAUCCGGAAUCAUUGGGUUUAAAGGGUCCGUAGGCGGACUAUUAAGUCAGGGGUGAAAUCCCACGGCUCAACCGUGGAACUGCCCUUGAUACUGGUAGUCUUGAGUUAUUGUGAAGUAGAUGGAAUGUGUAGUGUAGCGGUGAAAUGCAUAGAUAUUACACAGAACACCGAUUGCGAAGGCAGUCUACUAAUAAUACACUGACGCUGAGGG
This 400-nucleotide ribosomal RNA is filed under the name uncultured bacterium. Its description in RNAcentral is "bacterial SSU rRNA". It matches the Rfam family "Bacterial small subunit ribosomal RNA", at positions 355 to 752 of the family's 1533-position model. The record is from RNAcentral.